This 458-nucleotide ribosomal RNA is filed under the name uncultured bacterium. RNAcentral's name for it is "partial 16S ribosomal RNA". It matches the Rfam family "Bacterial small subunit ribosomal RNA", at positions 338 to 795 of the family's 1533-position model. The record is from RNAcentral.
CCUACGGGUGGCAGCAGUGAGGAAUAUUGGUCAAUGGGCGAGAGCCUGAACCAGCCAAGUCGCGUGAGGGAGUACUGCCCUAUGGGUUGUAAACCUCUUUUGUCGGGGAGCAAAAGCCGGACGUGUCCGGCUGUGAGAGUACCCGAAGAAAAAGCAUCGGCUAACUCCGUGCCAGCAGCCGCGGUAAUACGGAGGAUGCGAGCGUUAUCCGGAUUUAUUGGGUUUAAAGGGUGCGUAGGCGGACGCUUAAGUCAGCGGUAAAAUUGCGGGGCUCAACCUCGUCGAGCCGUUGAAACUGGGUGCCUUGAGUGGGCGAGAAGUACGCGGAAUGCGUGGUGUAGCGGUGAAAUGCAUAGAUAUCACGCAGAACUCCGAUUGCGAAGGCAGCGUACCGGCGCCCAACUGACGCUGAAGCACGAAGGCGUGGGUAUCGAACAGGAUUAGAUACCCGUGUAGUC